CCCCAAUUCAGCCCCCAAAAGUCAAGCUGUCCAAUCCCCACUUCUCUGCAAAACCAAAGCACCCUAAAGCAAAUUCUUUGUAACUUCCUCUGCAAACCUCCAGCAGUUCCCACGUUCAUUUCUCUCCAAGUGCAGAGCCAACAACCAAACAAGAACACCCAUUGAAAAUUAUCACAAGGUAGCCACUUAACUUCUUUUUACCUCUGCUCAUAAAUCGAGCUUCAAGCUGCAAGCUUGUUCAAAGCUAUAUACAAUUUGACAUAUACAGAGCAACACAUUUCAAGCUUUUCAAUCAAACUGACAUAUACACAUUCAUAUACAUACAUCGCAUGUUUUAUAAAGAAAAGGUUGAAUCUUGAAGCAUCAAUUGUUCCUUGAUUUUAAGAUUACUCUGCCAAAAAGAAAAAGAAGAAAGAAUGAGUCUUGAGCUUUGUUUGUGCUUGUCGUUGUUUGAACGUUUGCUGUUGAUUUGAGUCGAAAGUGGAGGGAGGCAGAUGCGGUCGGCGGCGGUGGUUCUCCUGCUGCUGUCGGCUGGAGUUUUGAGGGAGAGGCGGCGAGGCAAGGGCCUUGUUGCCGCUCUGAGCCGGGUCGGGGCUGGGUUUUGUCGAGGGCGGAACGGCGGCGGCAGUCUGCUCCAUCAACUGCUGUCGGCCGGAGUGAGCAGAGAGUAGGGGGAUGGGUGACUGGUCUGGGCUGAGUUUUCACCGAGGGAGGCUAGGGCGCGGCGGCCCUGCUGCUGUCGCUCGGCCACGGACGGAGGGAGAGUAGAGUAGAGAGGGAGGGAGCGGCGAUCUCGCCGUUUCCAAGGAGGAAGACGACUCGGAUGGAGUGAGGUGAUGGUUUCGAUCUGAGAAGCGCGAUCAGUCGAGGGAGAGAGACUGAUGUGCACGACUGACGGAGGGAGGCGGCGGCGGUACCUAUCUUCGUUGCCAAGGAAGGAGGCCGGUCGACGGCUGCCUCGCCGGAGGGAGCUCCGACGGUGGAUGAAAUUUCGAGAGGAGGGAGAGAGAGGGCCGAGCAGUCGAGUGUGUGUGUGAGUGUGAC
Molecule: long non-coding RNA, 1044 nt
Organism: Salvia miltiorrhiza (redroot sage)
Lineage: Eukaryota; Viridiplantae; Streptophyta; Magnoliopsida; Lamiales; Lamiaceae
Exons: 2
Source: RefSeq, a predicted model, not a curated record